ACGGGAGGCAGCAGUGGGGAAUAUUGCACAAUGGGGGGAACCCUGAUGCAGCAACGCCGCGUGAGGGAAGACGGUUUUCGGAUUGUAAACCUUUGUCUUUGGUGAAGAAGAAGUGACGGUAGCCAAGGAGGAAGCCACGGCUAACUACGUGCCAGCAGCCGCGGUAAUACGUAGGUGGCAAGCGUUGUCCGGAAUUACUGGGUGUAAAGGGAGCGCAGGCGGGACAGCAAGUCAGCUGUGAAAACCACGGGCUUAACCUGUGGACUGCAGUUGAAACUGUUGUUCUUGAGUGAAGUAGAGGUAGGCGGAAUUCCGAGUGUAGCGGUGAAAUGCGUAGAUAUUCGGAGGAACACCAGUGGCGAAGGCGGCCUACUGGGCUUUAACUGACGCUGAGGCUCGAAAGUGUGGGGAGCAAACAGGAUUAGAUACCCUGGUA
Molecule: ribosomal RNA, 436 nt
Filed under: uncultured Oscillospiraceae bacterium
Lineage: Bacteria; Bacillati; Bacillota; Clostridia; Eubacteriales; Oscillospiraceae
Description: partial 16S ribosomal RNA
Rfam family: Bacterial small subunit ribosomal RNA
Source: RNAcentral